RNAcentral lists this ribosomal RNA (497 nucleotides) under uncultured bacterium. RNAcentral's name for it is "partial 16S ribosomal RNA". It matches the Rfam family "Bacterial small subunit ribosomal RNA", at positions 28 to 507 of the family's 1533-position model. The record is from RNAcentral.
GAUGAACGCUGGCGGCGUGCCUAAUACAUGCAAGUCGAGCGAACAGACGAGGAGCUUUCUCCUCUGACGUUAGCGACGGACGGGUAAGUAACACGUGGAUAACCUACCUAUAAGACUGGGAUAACUUCGCGAAACCUGAUCUAAUACCCGAUCAUAUAUUGAACCUCAUGGUUCAAUAGUGAAAGACGGUUUUGCUGUCACUUAGACAUGUAUCCUGGCCGCAUUAGCUAGUUGGUAAGGUAACGGCUUACCAAGGCGACGAUGCGUAGCCGACCUGAGAGGAUGAUCGGCCACACUGGAACUGAGACACGGUCCAGACUCCUACGGGAGGCAGCAGUAGGGAAUCUUCGGCAAUGGGCGAAAGCCUGACGGAGCCACGCCGCGUGAGUGAUGAAGGUCUUCGGAUCGUAAAACUCUGUUAUUAGGGAAGAACAAAUGUGUAAGUAAAUAUGCACGUCUUGACGGUACCUAAUCAGAAAGCAACGGCUAACUACGUG